AAGGGAGACCUAAUUCAGGUAGGAGACGAAAAAAAAGUAGUCCCUACCAAGAAUCAAUCCCAAAAGGUCGGAGCGAGGCAAAAUUGGCUUUCAAACUAGGUUCUGGGUUCACACAAGACCUGAAUCAGGAACAAGGGCUAUUAGCUCAGGUGGUUAGAGCGCACCCCUGAUAAGGGCGAGGUCCCUGGUUCGAGUCCAGGAUGGCCCACCUGUACAGGUGGCAAAAACAAAGAAAAGAAGCGAGGAAUCAGCACCUUAUCUUACUUAUAUAGUAAGAGAGAAUGCUGGCUCUGAGUUCAGAGUCCAGAGGAACCUUGAAAACUGCAUAGAGCUAGGUGAAAAAGCCAAAAAAGAAGACCACAA
Molecule: transfer RNA, 363 nt
Filed under: uncultured Microcystis sp.
Lineage: Bacteria; Bacillati; Cyanobacteriota; Cyanophyceae; Chroococcales; Microcystaceae
Description: partial miscellaneous RNA
Rfam family: tRNA (bases 135-208)
Source: RNAcentral